AACGAACGCUGGCGGCAGGCCUAACACAUGCAAGUCGAGCGAAGCCUUCGGGCUUAGCGGCGGACGGGUGAGUAACGCGUGGGAACGUGCCCUUUGGUACGGAAUAGCCCCGGGAAACUGGGAGUAAUACCGUAUGUGGUCGAGAGACGAAAGAUUUAUCGCCAAAGGAUCGGCCCGCGUUGGAUUAGGUAGUUGGUGGGGUAAUGGCCUACCAAGCCGACGAUCCAUAGCUGGUUUGAGAGGAUGAUCAGCCACACUGGGACUGAGACACGGCCCAGACUCCUACGGGAGGCAGCAGUGGGGAAUCUUAGACAAUGGGGGAAACCCUGAUCUAGCCAUGCCGCGUGAUCGAUGAAGGCCUUAGGGUUGUAAAGAUCUUUCAGUGGGGAAGAUAAUGACUGUACCCACAGAAGAAGCCCCGGCUAACUCCGUGCCAGCAGCCGCCGCGG
RNAcentral lists this ribosomal RNA (449 nucleotides) under uncultured bacterium. RNAcentral describes it as "partial 16S ribosomal RNA". It matches the Rfam family "Bacterial small subunit ribosomal RNA", at positions 29 to 523 of the family's 1533-position model. The record is from RNAcentral.